GACGAACGCUGGCGGCGUGCUUAACACAUGCAAGUCGAACGGAAAGGCCCUGCUUGCAGGGUACUCGAGUGGCGAACGGGUGAGUAACACGUGGGUGAUCUGCCCUGCACUUCGGGAUAAGCCUGGGAAACUGGGUCUAAUACCGGAUAGGAGCCAUUUUUAGUGUGAUGGUUGGAAAGUUUUUUCGGUGUAGGAUGAGCUCGCGGCCUAUCAGCUUGUUGGUGGGGUAAUGGCCUACCAAGGCGGCGACGGGUAGCCGGCCUGAGAGGGUGGACGGCCACAUUGAGACUGAGGUGCGGCACAGGCGGGUACGGGAGGCAGAAGUGGGGAAGAUUGCACAAUGGGCGCAGGGCUGGUGCAGAGGGGCUGCGGGGGGGAAGACGGCCUUCGUGUUGUAGACUCCUUUCGCUAGGGACGAAGCUUUUUGUGACGGUACCUAGAUAAGAAGCACCGGCUAACUACGUG
This 465-nucleotide ribosomal RNA is filed under the name uncultured bacterium. RNAcentral describes it as "partial 16S ribosomal RNA". It matches the Rfam family "Bacterial small subunit ribosomal RNA", at positions 28 to 507 of the family's 1533-position model. The record is from RNAcentral.